RNAcentral lists this long non-coding RNA (1683 nucleotides) under Anser brachyrhynchus (Pink-footed goose). Its description in RNAcentral is "lncRNA (ENSABRG00000019535.1)". Lineage: Eukaryota; Metazoa; Chordata; Aves; Anseriformes; Anatidae. The record is from RNAcentral.
GCAAAAUCAACAUUCAGCUUCCAAGUCUCUGGAAAAACUUGACAAGGACAGAAGGAAAAAGAUCUGUAAAAAGCAGCAAGGGCAAUGGUGGAAGGCAAUGAACAGAAGAGGCAAAUUAUCCAGUGCAGUAGCUUUAUCUUUAAAGCUAAAACUACUUUCCACCAUGCUCAACCUCUUUUUACUUCACACACAAUGAUCACUUUGCUGCAUUCUCUGGAUAUUUCUGUUCUAUUUCAUACACAUUUCCUGUAAAUGGGGAUUAGGAUUUCAAUCACGACCUGCUCACACAACAAUUACUCAGGCAAAAGAGCUAUUAAAAUCAGUGGGAGAGUUUGGCCCGUUUAGACAAUGUGGAAUAAAAUCUAUUUACCCCCAGCAUUUUCCUAAACCUAUGUUGUUACAGGUACUGAAAAAAAUCUUUUACUAUGCAGGGUUUCAUAGAUGACAAUCUCAUCUCUAAAAGACUGCUAUGUUGGGAACAGAUCAGGAUGAUUUUGGGCAAAAGCAAUGCCCAGAGCUCUCAAGGUGAGAAUAUGGAGUGUCACACCUGCAGUGUCACUAACUUCCCUGCACCUGGAUCCCCACCCGCCUUGGGUCUGCUUACCGAGGCUGGUACUUCUUCAGAGAGGAAACAGUGUUUGUCUACACUACAAACAGGCCUGCCACUACCAGCCAAGCUGGGCUCUUUCCUUCUCAUGCAAAUGCUACACAAAAAGGGUGUGAGCAGAGCAGGGAGCCACAGAAGACAGCUUCCCCAGGCCAAACUGGAACUUCACUAACGUGUGUGACAACCCCUGGCUGUAUGCCUGUACCACUCCCCUUGUCGCUAUUCAGCUGAAGAUGCACACUGCGGAUGAAAAUGCAGGCCUGCUUUUGGUUAUCUUUUUCCAGAGAUAACACAACUGACAAGGCUGAAGAGUUCAGAGAAUUCAUGGACAAUGCAAAUGAGGGAAGUCACCCAACAUGGGCAAAGGCUCAUUUUUCUAAUAGAACAGAAAAAAAUUGGCUUUCAAAAAUUGGAACAGCAUAAGCUUUUGGAAAAAAGGGAGGGAGCCAAAGCUGGCCUUACUGCUGCCUCAGGUAUAGUGCUCCUCUUUCAUUAUCAGAGAAAAUCUUCCCAUUGAAUGCCAUCAGUCAUAUUUUUGUAUUGAUAUUUCUAGAUGAGUGAGAUGCCCCCCUUUCUGGCAGUGUAAAAAUCAGAUUGUGUCUUCACAGUAACAUAAAUGCCUAAGAAGAUAUUUCCCAAACAGCCCAAAGCAGAUGGAUGACUAAAACUUACCAAAAUCAUUUAUUGAAACAAAACUCCAUCAGAAGCAGAACACUCAGAGCUCACAGUGGCCAGCACUUUAAAAAAGCAUAAGCAUUCAUAACUGCAGCUGCUCAGAAGUUUCCCAGUAUCUCAGAUUCACUCAAGGUUCACAUAAGAGAUUCUCUCGUGGCUUACAGUUUUAGUAUUUAGUGAGCUGCAUUCUGAUAUGGAGCUCAAGAAGAAACAAAUCACAUCACUCUGUAAGCAGCUCUGAAACCAAAUCCUUUGAGCAUUGCCCAUCAUUUGAACUCUCUCACCACAUAGUUCUUCUGCAAAUAGCCUUUGUUACUAAAGUCACAGUUAAAUAGCGAUCCUAUUUGUCAUUUACACUUCAUAGAUAUCAACGGGUAUAGCUGAAAAUCUGUUAGUACUGU